This is a long non-coding RNA of Cygnus olor (mute swan), 417 nucleotides long. RefSeq lists it as uncharacterized. The record is from RefSeq and is a predicted model, not a curated record. The transcript has 2 exons. NCBI's taxonomy places the organism in Eukaryota, Metazoa, Chordata, Aves, Anseriformes, Anatidae.
UGCCAGGGGCACCUCAAAAACAUUUGGGAAUUUCCUUGUGGAGGUGUGGAGUAGCUCUGUGGGCUCAGUAUUUGCUCGAGGUCUUCUCUUCCAGCCAGCCUGAAUUGGGAGCCACAAAGUCAACGAUGGCAUGACAAGAAGAGCACCAGGCCUUCAUGUUGUGGGCACAUCUCCUCCUGGCCCUUCUCCACACGUCCACUGCUGCAAAGCCAGCAGCCUGACCCAGCUUACAUUGACCCUUCGUGUGCAUCAGGGCCAUGCUGGCUGCCCACGUGUAGCUCUCCGCUGAGGCAAGAGACAACUCCAAAUUGCCCCAAAUCAUCACACAGAUCCCUUGCUAACACACUUCGUAUGCUGCAAAACUGCAAACAAGUGAAAGAUGCACAACCACCAUUAAAAUAUACAUAUUUUACCUCA